ACGAUGCGAACCCUUGAAUCAAUUCUUAGCAACCAGCAAAGCAAAAAAAUCAAGAUCUGACGGAUACACAGUUUCUGCAGACAGGCCAGACUUCAUGUCAUGAUAUCUCUGCAAGGACACGAUACUUCACGCCAAGGCAGGCACAAGGAGUCGGCGAAUGUAUAAGUUUCCUGAAACAGGCGAUAAAAUCCCAGGAUGGGUGUAAAAAAAUGGCAAGGCACAGCCAUACCGGGAAAAAGAGCUACCUGACAAAACCGGAUGCGAACAGAAAAGCCAGACCGCGCCGUCUUACAAGCAGCAGCUGGGGGCAAGAAGCGAGAACCACCCGUGGCUUCGAUGAGCGUAAUAAAGGCGAAAGGAGUCAAGUACCCGUGCUCAAAGCCAAUAUACGGGCUCACGUAUGCUGCCCAGCAGCAGAGAAAUUGGUAAUCGGCUUCACGACUACCAGGCUGGCAAGGGUGCUGCCGCUAACAGGUUCGCUGACCUGCCUGCUGAAGUAGAUGUCUAGGAUAACGCGAGUCAAGGCCGAGGGGUUUGAAAGUUUUGUUGGGGAAUGUUCAUGGGUUGCUGGAGGCAGGUGUUUCCAAGCUUGAGCGUGCUGGAAUCAAGUCUUUUGUGACUAGUCAUUCUACUGAAGCACACGUAACGGAUGUAGCGCCAUACACCGACGCGCCCCUUGAAGGUUUUCGCCUGAUGUGGUUGCAAAGGUCGGGAGAUGCCAUACGUGCUGACUACGGUCCAUUCUGUGUAUGUCUGUGUGUGUGCGUCACAUGGUUUUAGGGUGCAUACCCCGUACCUGCAAACCUCCCAAUACGAGCCGAGGGCUCAAGGGCUGCUCAAGGUCCAUUCUGAACGGAGUCAACGAGCCGGCAGGUGAGCGGCCAAGAGGAGUACAAGAAAGGUAUAUGGAAGACUGGCCGCGAGCGGAAUCCAGAUAGAGUUCACCGAGCUGUCCUGGCGACCUAAUCGC
Molecule: long non-coding RNA, 970 nt
Filed under: Volvox carteri
Lineage: Eukaryota; Viridiplantae; Chlorophyta; Chlorophyceae; Chlamydomonadales; Volvocaceae
Description: long non-coding RNA (VCAR_LNC000751)
Source: RNAcentral